RNAcentral lists this ribosomal RNA (492 nucleotides) under uncultured bacterium. RNAcentral's name for it is "partial 16S ribosomal RNA". It matches the Rfam family "Bacterial small subunit ribosomal RNA", at positions 29 to 507 of the family's 1533-position model. The record is from RNAcentral.
AGUGAACGCUGGCGGUAGGCCUAACACAUGCAAGUCGAACGGCAGCACAGUAAGAGCUUGCUCUUACGGGUGGCGAGUGGCGGACGGGUGAGGAAUACAUCGGAAUCUACUUUUUCGUGGGGGAUAACGUAGGGAAACUUACGCUAAUACCGCAUACGACCUACGGGUGAAAGCAGGGGAUCUUCGGACCUUUCGCGAUUGAUUGAGCCUAUGUCGGAUUAGCUAGUUGGCGGGGUAAAGGCCCACCAAGGCGACGAUCCGUAGCUGGUCUGAGAGGAUGAUCAGCCACACUGGAACUGAGACACGGUCCAGACUCCUACGGGAGGCAGCAGUGGGGAAUAUUGGACAAUGGGCGCAAGCCUGAUCCAGCCAUACCGCGUGGGUGAAGAAGGCCUUCGGGUUGUAAAGCCCUUUUGUUGGGAAAGAAAAGCAGCAGGUUAAUACCCCGCUGUUCUGACGGUACCCAAAGAAUAAGCACCGGCUAACUUCGUG